RNAcentral lists this ribosomal RNA (425 nucleotides) under Cryptosporidium bovis. RNAcentral describes it as "SSU rRNA". It matches the Rfam family "Eukaryotic small subunit ribosomal RNA", at positions 624 to 1090 of the family's 1831-position model. The record is from RNAcentral. RNAcentral also lists the same sequence under 1 other name. Lineage: Eukaryota; Apicomplexa; Conoidasida; Eucoccidiorida; Cryptosporidiidae.
AAGCUCGUAGUUGGAUUUCUGUUAAUUUUUAUAUAUAAUAUCACGAUAUUUAUAUAAUAUUAACAUAAUUCAUAUUACUUUUUAGUAUAUGAAACUUUACUUUGAGAAAAUUAGAGUGCUUAAAGCAGGCUAUUGCCUUGAAUACUCCAGCAUGGAAUAAUAUUAAGGAUUUUUAUUCUUCUUAUUGGUUCUAGAAUAAAAAUGAUGAUUAAUAGGGACAGUUGGGGGCAUUUGUAUUUAACAGUCAGAGGUGAAAUUCUUAGAUUUGUUAAAGACAAACUACUGCGAAAGCAUUUGCCAAGGAUGUUUUCAUUAAUCAAGAACGAAAGUUAGGGGAUCGAAGACGAUCAGAUACCGUCGUAGUCUUAACCAUUAACUAUGCCAACUAGAGAUUGGAGGUUGUUCCUUACUCCUUCAGCACCUUA